This 254-nucleotide ribosomal RNA is filed under the name uncultured bacterium. Its description in RNAcentral is "partial 16S ribosomal RNA". It matches the Rfam family "Bacterial small subunit ribosomal RNA", at positions 524 to 776 of the family's 1533-position model. The record is from RNAcentral.
UACGUAGGUGGCUAGCGUUGUCCGGAUUUACUGGGCGUAAAGCGCGCGCAGGCGGUCGUUCAAGUCGAGUGUGAAAGCCCCCCGGCUCAACUGGGGAGGGUCACUCGAUACUGAUCGACUUGAAGGCAGAAGAGGGAAGCGGAAUUCCCGGUGUAGUGGUGAAAUGCGCAGAUAUCGGGAAGAACACCCGUGGCGAAGGCGGUUCUCUGGGACGGUACUGACGCUGAGACGCGAAAGCGUGGGGAGCAAACAGG